CCAAGAUGGCCGAAUAGGAACAGCUCCGGUCUACAGCUCCCAGCGUGAGCGACGCAGAAGACGGGUGAUUUCUGCAUUUCCAUCUGAGGUACCGGGUUCAUCUCACUAGGGAGUGCCAGACAGUGGGCGCACGCAGGAUACUCAAACUUGAAACCAACCUACCUUAUCGUGAGGAAGCCUGGUUCAAAUGGAGAGGCCAAUGUAGGUGUACAACAGACAGUCCCAGCUGAAAGGCCCAGCUUGCACACAACAUCACUGCCAGACGAAUGAGAAGGGCCUUAUGAUGAUUCCAGCAUCAGACAUUUGACUUGGCCCAGCUUUUGCUGAACUGCAUCUUAAAUGGGCUCUUGCUAUAUUUGGCCUGACUGGUCUUGAACUCCUGGACUCAAGUGGAGCUCCUGCCUCGACCUUCUGAAGUACUGGGACUACAAGCAUAAGCCACUGUGCCUAGCUACUUGCUGUGUUUUAAAGGUAUGGAGUACUGGGACUGUAAUUACUUGCAUGGAUUUUGAGGUUUUCUUUAGAAACCAUCAUGUCUUUAUAUUAUUUCUGACUCUUUUGAAUACUAAAGGAAAAAUGACAAGAAUGAUUUUAUUUGUAAUUAAUUUUUAUUUUUAUAUUAACAAGUAUAUAUUUUAAAUGCAAACUUUUGUUUAAAAGCUUAUAACAGAGCAUUAUUUCGGUUCUCCAUUCCCCUCUUUCACACAAGGAAAUUGGAUUCUGCUUUUCAGUCCACUGCUUUCAACCCUUUUAAAAAAUUGUUCAAGAGAGGGGCUGGCUUUUACUUUUCUAUUUAUUUAUAAUUUCAAUGUUCCUAUAGUCAAUCAUUAAUAUUAUUUUGAUAUUAUCUAUUGAUUCUUUGUUAUUAUUACAGUUGUAUAGUCCCACAUAUUAUUUUCGAGAACCCCUAGAUUUAUUUCUAUUCAUUUAAUCUCACUUUUUGUCAAGCCAUCUUUUAAGAGUUUUUCAAGAAGGGUACUAGGGAAUAAAUUUUUGAUAAUUCAUUUUUCUGAAAUUAGCUUUAUUUCUUUCUUUUCCUAGGUUUAAGGUUUCUGUAGUUUUAAGGUUUUAAGAUUAAAAUAAUUUCACCUCAGACUUAUGAAGGCAGCGCUCCAGUCAAACCUGAUUCCCAUACUGCAGUUUCAGAGUGAGAGAGAAGGAAGAAGGAGGAAGGCAGGAAAGAAGGAAGGGAGGGAGGGAGGGAGGGGGGAGGGAUCAAACUUGAUUCUCAAUGUUGUUGAGGAAUUUAACACUGUACUUGAUUCUUUUAUCAUGAUCUUGUUUUUACCCUGGAAAAUUCUGGAAUUGGCUGCUUAUUCUUGGAUAUCUAAACUUUAAAAAUUAUAUUAAAUCCUGCAUUUGUUUUUAUUUUGUAAUAUUUGAACUUGGAAGCCUUUUUCUAUCUUGAGUUUUAUGUCCUCGAGUUCCAGUAAAUAUUUUUGUAAUAUUUUAUUGGAAAUUUCCUCUAACUUUGUGAAUGCUUCCUUAAUUUUCUAAAAUUUCUAUCUUCUCAACUCUUCACUUUAUUAUACUCUUUGGGAGAUAAACUUCAACUUGCAACCUGUCGCUAAUUUUAUCAAAUUUCAGCUUUCAUGAUUUUAAGUGCUGAUUAAUAUUUCUUAUUUUCUAUCAUUUCUUUUUGUAGAAGCUCAUUCUUUUUCACAAUGCAAUAUAUUAUAUUAUCCCUCUGAUAAUUAAACUUUCUUUGAAAUGCUCUCUGCUUAAUGUUUCUCACAGUUUGCACUAACUUCUCCCUUUAUUUAGAGUCUUUCACUUCAAAAUGUCUGAUGACUUUUUAAAAUUAAGUAUCUAGAAAGUUGACAAUUUCUUAAGGGUGAGCAAACCAACCCCAAAGGUAGCAGAAGACAAGAAAUAAUCAAAAUCAGAGCCAAACUAAAAAAAAAAAAAGAGACUCAAAAAACCAUCCAAAAGAUCAAGGAAUCCAGGAGUUCGAUUUUUGAAAAAAUAAAUAAGAUAGGCCACUAGCUACACUAAUAAAGAAGAGAGAAUAUUGAAAUAAAAAAUUAGAAAUGACAAAGGAGAUGUUACCACUGACCCUACAGAAAUACAAAUAAUCCUCAAAGACUACUACAAAUACCUCUGUGCACACAAACUAGAAAACCUAGAAGAGAUGAAUAAAUUCUUAGACAUAUAUACCCUCCCAAGACUGAGCCAGGAAAAAAUUGAUUCCCUGAACAUACCAAUAAUGAGCUUCAAAAUUAAAUCAGUAAAAAAUAGCCUACCAGCCAAAAAAAGCCUGGGACCAGAUGAAUUUACAGCUGAAUUCUACUGGAUGUACAAAGAAGAGCUCGUGCCAUUCUUAUUGAAACUAUUUCAAAACAUUCAGGUGGAGGGAUUCAUCCCCAACUCAUUCUGUGAGGCCAAAAUCAUUUGUAUACCAAAACCUGACAGAGACACAAUAGAAAAAGAAAACUUUGGGCCAAUAACUUUGAUGAACACUGAUGCAAAAUAUCUUCAACAAAAUACUGGCAAACUGAAUACAGCAGCACAUCAAAAAGCUAUCUACCACGAUCACUGGGAUGCAAGGUUGGUUCAACAUAUGCAAAUCAAUAAAUGUGAUUUAUCACAUAAACAGACCUAAAGACAAAAACCACGAUUAUUUCAAUAGAUGUUGAAAAGGCUUUUGAUAACAUUCAACAUCACUUCAUGUUAAAACUCUAAAAAAAAAACCUAGGUAUUGAAGGAAAAUGCCUAAAAAUAAUGAGUCUUCUUAGUAUGACAAACCCACAGCCAAUAUCAUACUGAAUAAGCAAAAGCUAGAAGCAUUCCCCUUGAAAACUGGCAUAAGAUGAGCAUGCCCUCUCUCACCACUCCUAUUCAACAUGGUAUUGGAAAUCCUGGAAAUCCAAAUAGGAAAAGAGGAUGUCAAACUAUCCCUGUUGGUAGAUGACAUGAUUCUAUAUCAAAAAGACCCCAUAGUUUCAGCCCAAAAGAUCCUUCUGCUAAUAAACAACAACUUCAGCUGCUAAUAAAUAACUUCAGGAUACAAAAUCAAUGUACAAAAUAUCACUAACAUUCCUAUAAACCAACAACUGUCAAGCCAAGGGCCAAAUCAGGAGCACAAUUCCAUUCACAAUUUCCACAAAAAAGAAUAAAAUACCUAGGAAUACAGCUAACCAGGGAGGUAAAAUAUCACUACAAUAAUUACAAAACAUUGCUCUAAGAAAUCAGAGAUGACAUAAACCAAUGGAAAAACAUUCCAUGUUCAUAGUUUAGAAGAAUCAGUAUCAUUAAAAUGAUGAUAUGGCCCAAAACAGUUUACAGAUUCAAUAUCAUUCCUAUCAAACUACCAUUGACAUUCUUCACAGAGUUUAAAAAGUCUAUUUUAAAAUUUAUAUGGAACCAAAAAAAGAGCCUGAAUAUUGAAGGAAAUCUGAAGCAAAAAGAACAAAGCUGGAAGCAGCAUGUUACCCAACUUCAAACUAUACUACAGGGCUACAGCAAUGAAAAUAGCAUGGUACUGCUAUAGAACCAGACAGAUAAACCAAUGGAACAGAAUAGAGAGCCCAGAAAUAGGGCUGCACACCUACAACAAUCUGAUUUUUGACAAAGUUGACAAAAACGAGCAAUACAGAAAGAACUUCCUACUCAAUAAAUACUGAAGUAACUGGCUAGCCAUAUGCAGAAGAUUGAAAAUGGACCUCUUCCUUACACCAUAUACAAAAAUCAACUCAAGAUGAAUUAAAGCCUCAAAUGUAAAACCCAAAACUAUAAAUAUCUUGAAAGACAACCUAAGCAAUACCUUUCUGGACAUAGGAACUGGAAAAUAUUUCAUGAUGAAGAUGCCAAAAUUAAUCAUAAGAAAAGCAUAAUUGACUAAUGGGAUCUAAUUAAACUAAAGAGCUUCUGCACAGCAAAAGAAAGUUCAACAGAGUAAACAGACAACCACACAGAAUGGGAGAAAAUAUUUGCAAACUAUGCAUCUGACAAAGGUGUAAUAUCCAGCAUCUAUAGCAAUUAACACAUUUGUAAGACAAAAAAAACAACCUAAUUACAAUUGGGCAAAGGACAUGAACACUUUUCAAAAGAAGACUUACAUGUAUCCAGCAAGCAUAUGGAAAAAAGUUUAAUAUCACUAAUCAUUAGAAAAAUGCAAAUCAAAACCACAAUGAGAUACCAUCUCACACCAGUCAGAAUGGCUAUUAUUAAAAAGUCAAAUAAUAACUAAUCCUAGCAAAGCAAGGCAGUGGAGAAAAGAGAAUGUUUACACUCUCUUGGUGGAAGUGUAAAUUAGUUCAACCAUUGUGGAAAGUAGUGCAGUGAUUCCUCAAAGAGCUGAAAACAGAACUACCAUUUGACCCAGUAAUCCCUUUAAUGGGUAUAUACCUAAAGGAAAUACAUUGUUUUACCAUAAAGACACAGCAGGCAAAUGUUCAUUGCAACACUAUUCACAAUAGCCAAGACAUGAAAUCAACCUAAAUGCCCAUCAAAGACAGAUUGGGUAAAGAAAAUGUGGUACAUACACACCAUGGAAUACUAUGCAGCCAUAAAAAAGAAUGAGAUCUUAUUCUUUGCAAGAACAUGGAUGGAGGCCAUCAAACUUAGCAAACUAAUGCAGGAACAGCAAAUCAAAUGCCACAUAUUCUCAUCUAUGAGUAGGAGCUAAAUGAUGAAGUCACGGACACAAAGAGGGAAACAGUAGACACUGGGGCCUACCUGAGGGAGAAGGGCAUGAGAAGGGAGAGGAUCAGAAAAAAUAAUUACUGGGUACUGGGAUUAGCACAUGGGUGAUGAAAUAAUCUGUACAACAAACUGUGACACAAAUUUAUCUAUGUAACAAACCUGCACAUGUUCCCCUGAACCUAAAAUAAAAGUUUAAAAGAUAAUAAUAAUAAUAAAUUUUUUUAAUUACUAAAAAAGUUUUUUAAAAAGGAGAAACAUUUCUUAAGGGUGGAUGGACCUGGUUUGUCAAGUGGCAAGAUAAUUUGUACUUUCUGUUUUGUAGUUGGUGCUCUUCUUCACAAAUUGUUAGUUUCUGGCAGUUAUUCUCUAA
RNAcentral lists this long non-coding RNA (5014 nucleotides) under Homo sapiens (human). RNAcentral describes it as "non-protein coding lnc-OLFM4-15:1". Lineage: Eukaryota; Metazoa; Chordata; Mammalia; Primates; Hominidae. The record is from RNAcentral.